GAUGAACGCUGGCGGCGUGCCUAAUACAUGCAAGUCGAGCGAACGGACGAGAAGCUUGCUUUUCUGAUUUUAUCGGCGGACGGGUGAGUAACACGUGGAUAACCUACCUAUAAGACUGGGAUAACUUCGGGAAACCGUAGCUAAUACCGGAUAAUAUUUUGAACCUCAUGGUUCAAAAGUUAAAGACGGUCUUGCUUUCACUUAUAGAUUGAUCCGCGCUGCAUUAGCUAGUUGGUAAGGUAACGGCUUACCAAGGCAACGAUGCAUAGCCGACCUGAGAGGGUGGUCGAACAGACUGGAAGUGAGGAGCGGUACAGACACCUACGGGAGGAAGCAGUAGGGAAUCUUACGGAAGGGGGGAAAGCCUGACGGAGCAAAGCCGCGGGAAGGAUGAAGGACUAAGGAUGGUAGAACUCUGUUAUUAGGGAAGAACAUAUGUGUAAGUAACUGUGAACAUCUUGACGGUACCUAAUCAGAAAGCCACGGCUAACUACGUG
Molecule: ribosomal RNA, 497 nt
Filed under: uncultured bacterium
Lineage: Bacteria
Description: partial 16S ribosomal RNA
Rfam family: Bacterial small subunit ribosomal RNA
Source: RNAcentral